RNAcentral lists this long non-coding RNA (384 nucleotides) under Musa acuminata (dwarf banana). Its description in RNAcentral is "long non-coding RNA (MACU_LNC002865)". The record is from RNAcentral. Lineage: Eukaryota; Viridiplantae; Streptophyta; Magnoliopsida; Zingiberales; Musaceae.
GAAAAUUAAACUUUUUGAUAGAGAGAGUACUUCAAUAGCUACGUUCCUUGUUAUAAUGUCAUCAGUCAAUUCGUGCUCUAUUGAUUAAAGAAAUAAAAAAUAUGAAAAUUAUAUAACAAUAUGUUAAUAACAUAACAAUAUGUAUCCCACAAAGAUCCCUUCUUUGGUUUUUGAUCCCACCCAAGGUCCCUUCACACACUUUUUGCCAUAAUGUAUUCCCACAAAGAUCCCUUCUUUGGUUUUUGAUCCCACCCAAGGUCCCUUCACGACUUUUUGCCAUGUACCAUAAGCCAAGCAGAAUCUAUGCAAGGUGGGUGAUUCCACUGAUCCACACAAAAGCGUUUGCCAGUACACAGCCAGUCCAACAAGGUCCACACAAAUCAC